Molecule: ribosomal RNA, 433 nt
Filed under: uncultured bacterium
Lineage: Bacteria
Description: partial 16S ribosomal RNA
Rfam family: Bacterial small subunit ribosomal RNA
Source: RNAcentral
AACGAACGCUGGCGGCAUGCCUAACACAUGCCAGUCGAGCGAGACCUUCGGGUCUAGUGGCGCACGGGUGCGUAACGCGUGGGAAUCUGCCCUUGGGUUCGGAAUAACAGUUGGAAACGACUGCUAAUACCGGAUGAUGACGUACGUCCAAAGAUUUAUCGCCCAAGGAUGAGCCCGCGUAGGAUUAGCUAGUUGGUGAGGUAAAGGCUCACCAAGGCGACGAUCCUUAGCUGGUCUGAGAGGAUGAUCAGCCACACUGGGACUGAGACACGGCCCAGACUCCUACGGGAGGCAGCAGUGGGGAAUAUUGGACAAUGGGCGAAAGCCUGAUCCAGCAAUGCCGCGUGAGUGAUGAAGGCCUUAGGGUUGUAAAGCUCUUUUACCCGGGAUGAUAAUGACAGUACCGGGAGAAUAAGCGCCGGCUAACUCCGUG